RNAcentral lists this ribosomal RNA (459 nucleotides) under uncultured bacterium. RNAcentral's name for it is "partial 16S ribosomal RNA". It matches the Rfam family "Bacterial small subunit ribosomal RNA", at positions 338 to 795 of the family's 1533-position model. The record is from RNAcentral.
CCUACGGGAGGCAGCAGUGAGGAAUCUUGGUCCAUGGGCGCGAGCCUGAACCAGCCAAGUCGCGUGAGGGAAUACGGUCCUAUGGAUUGUAAACCUCUUUUGUCGGGGAGCCAAAGACGCCACGCGUGGCGUUCCGAGAGUACCCGAAGAAAAAGCAUCGGCUAACUCCGUCCCAGCAGCCGCGGUAAUACGGAGGAUGCGAGCGUUAUCCGGUUGUAUUGGGUUUAAAGGGUGCGCAGGGGGAAGAUCCAGUCAGCGGUAAAAUUGAGAGGUUCAACCUCUUAGAGCCGUUGAAACUGGUUUUGUUGAGUGAGUGAGAAGUAUGCGGAAUGCGUGGUGUAGCGGUGAAAUGCAUAGAUAUCACGCAGAACUCCGAUUGCGAAGGCAGCAUACCGGCGCUCAACUGACGCUCAUGCACGAAAGUGUGGGUAUCGAACAGGAUUAGAUACCCCAGUAGUC